UGGGGAAUUUUGGACAAUGGGGCAACCCUGAUCCAGCAAUGCCGCGUGAGUGAAGAAGGCCUUCGGGUUGUAAAGCUCUUUUGUCCGGGAAGAGAUCCCAUCCCUGAAUACGGGGUGGGGAUGACGGUACUGGAAGAAUAAGCACCGGCUAACUACGUGCCAGCAGCCGCGGUAAUACGUAGGGUGCAAGCGUUAAUCGGAAUUACUGGGCGUAAAGCGUGCGCAGGCGGUUGUGCAAGACCGAUGUGAAAUCCCCGGGCUUAACCUGGGAACUGCAUUGGUGACUGCACGGCUAGAGUGUGUCAGAGGGGGGUAGAAUUCCACGUGUAGCAGUGAAAUGCGUAGAGAUGUGGAGGAAUACCGAUGGCGAAGGCAGCCCCCUGGGAUAACACUGACGCUCAUGCACGAAAGCGUGGGGAGCAAACGGGAUUAGAUACCCUGGUAGUCCACGCCCUAAACGAUGUCAACUAGUUGUCGGGGAUUAAUUUCCUUGGUAACGCACUAACGCGUGAAGUUGACCGCCU
Molecule: ribosomal RNA, 524 nt
Filed under: uncultured bacterium
Lineage: Bacteria
Description: partial 16S ribosomal RNA
Rfam family: Bacterial small subunit ribosomal RNA
Source: RNAcentral